AAGCUUGAAGAAAAAAAAGUAACAAUAGGAUAUAAUCAACUACAAACAAUUUCACGCUUUUAGAAAGAUAUUAGUUAUCUUACUUGAGUCUAUCAAGUUAGCUUGGACUCGUCCAUCAGGCAUUGACUUAUUAUUCAAGCAACAAAAUAAAAAAAAAUUCUUUUAUUAAUUAUUUUGUCUAUUAUUAUAUGAUUAUUUUUAACUAAUAAUUUAUCAGUCAAUUUAACUUCUUUUAAAUUUCAAAAAUUGUACAUAAAGUUUACCAAACUACUAAAUUCCAAAACAUGCAUACAAAAAUGAUCGCUUUUGUACAAUUUAAUCCAAUUUAAUAUUCCUAAUUACAAUUAUAUUUAAAAAUUCUAAUUUAAAGUAUUACAGUACAAUUCAUUAAUUCAAAAAAUCAUUCAUCAUAAAUAUAAAAAAAUUAACUUAGUGUUAAAAUAAAAUCGUUCUUGAAAUUGGAUCUACAAUCAGCAAUAAAGUCAUUCACUCAUUCACACAUGCAUUAUCUAUCAUAUCUAACUAAUAAAUUCAAUAGUAUUAUAAUUUAAGAUUAAAAUUGUAAUUCACGAUUAUAGACAAUUAAUUUAGCUUUAAAAUUUCAAAAUG
Cotesia glomerata is the source of this 609-nucleotide long non-coding RNA. RefSeq lists it as uncharacterized. NCBI's taxonomy places the organism in Eukaryota, Metazoa, Arthropoda, Insecta, Hymenoptera, Braconidae. The transcript has 2 exons. The record is from RefSeq and is a predicted model, not a curated record.